CCCUUCCAAUUUUAUCUGGUGCCGGGAAUUUAAUUUAAUAAGGUAUCAAUUUUUCUUUUUCUUUUGAUUCUAAUGUAGGGGGAUAAGCUCUAUUUUUUUAAAUUUUUUUUUUUUUAUUGUAGGUUGUUUUUUCCACCCUUUUAUUUUUUAAAAAAUGUUUUUUUUUUGUUUUUUUUUUUAAUUUUUUAAUGGGGUUUAUUAUUUUAAUUUUUUUUUUUAAACAAGGUUUAAUUAUUAAAAAUAAAACUUUUUUUUUUGAAAUUGGCAAGAAUUAUUUUUCCCUUUUUUUCAAAAACCUGUUUUUUUUUUUUUUUUGGAGGUUUGGCCCGCUCAAAGAUAAUUUUAAAAAGCCCCCGUUUUUUUACUGGGCAAAGGGAGCCUAAUAAUUUGUUUUUUAAAUGGGGUUUGGAAAGAAAGGUUUGACGGAAAAAACCCCUUUUUUUUUAAAUUUUUUUGAAUUUUUUUUUUGGGUUAAAAUUUUCAAAAUUUUUAGGGGGGCGAUAAGACCCCAUAAAUUUUUAAAAAAUAUUUUUUUUUUUUUUUUUUGUUGUUUUUAAUUAAAGUUUUUUUGUAUUUUUUGGUUGGGGUGAUAAACAAAAAUUUAAACUUUGUUUUUUUUUUACAUUUAUUUAUGGUUUUUUGGAUCCUUUAUUAUUGAUUUAAAGAUAAAGAUACCUUAGGGAUAACAGCGUUAUUUAUUUGGAGAGUUCUUAUCGAUAAGUAAAGUUUGCCACCUCUGUAGAG
This 744-nucleotide ribosomal RNA is filed under the name Pochazia shantungensis. RNAcentral describes it as "partial large subunit ribosomal RNA". Lineage: Eukaryota; Metazoa; Arthropoda; Insecta; Hemiptera; Ricaniidae. The record is from RNAcentral.